UAAUGGUGUUUUUAAACAAGGUAUAGUU
RNAcentral lists this small RNA (28 nucleotides) under Bombyx mori (domestic silkworm). RNAcentral's name for it is "ovarian small RNA-19815". Lineage: Eukaryota; Metazoa; Arthropoda; Insecta; Lepidoptera; Bombycidae. The record is from RNAcentral.